GAUGAACGCUGGCGGCGUGCCUAAUACAUGCAAGUCGAGCGAACAGACGAGGAGCUUGCUCCUCUGACGUUAGCGGCGGACGGGUGAGUAACACGUGGAUAACCUACCUAUAAGACUGGGAUAACUUCGGGAAACCGGAGCUAAUACCGGAUAAUAUAUUGAACCGCAUGGUUCAAUAGUGAAAGACGGUUUUGCUGUCACUUCUAGCUGGAUCCCCGCCGCAUUAGCUAGUUGGUAAGGUAACGGCUUACCAAGGCAACGAUGCGUAGCCGACCUGAGAGGGGGGUCGGCGACACUGGAACUGAGACACGGUCCAGACUCCUACGGGAGGCAGCAGUAGGGAAUCUUCCGCAAUGGGCGAAAGCUUGACGGAGCAACGCCGCGUGAGUGAUGAAGGUCUUCGGAUCGUAAAACUCUGUUAUUAGGGAAGAACAAAUGUGUAAGUAACUAUGCACGUCUUGACGGUACCUAAUCAGAAAGCCACGGCUAACUACGUG
This 497-nucleotide ribosomal RNA is filed under the name uncultured bacterium. RNAcentral describes it as "partial 16S ribosomal RNA". It matches the Rfam family "Bacterial small subunit ribosomal RNA", at positions 28 to 507 of the family's 1533-position model. The record is from RNAcentral.